RNAcentral lists this ribosomal RNA (497 nucleotides) under uncultured bacterium. RNAcentral's name for it is "partial 16S ribosomal RNA". It matches the Rfam family "Bacterial small subunit ribosomal RNA", at positions 28 to 507 of the family's 1533-position model. The record is from RNAcentral.
GAUGAACGCCGGCGGCGUGCCUAAUACAUGCCAGUCGAGCGAACAGACGAGGAGCUUGCUCCUCUGACGUUAGCGGCGGACGGGUGAGUAACACGUGGAUAACCUACCUAUAAGACUGGGAUAACUUCGGGAAACCGGAGCUAAUACCGGAUAAUAUAUUGAACCGCAUGGUUCAAUAGUGAAAGACGGUUUUGCUGUCACUUAUAGAUGGAUCCGCGCCGCAUUAGCUAGUUGGUAAGGUAACGGCUUACCAAGGCGACGAUGCGUAGCCGACCUGAGAGGGUGAUCGGCCACACUGGAACUGAGACACGGUCCAGACUCCUACGGGAGGCAGCAGUAGGGAAUCUUCCGCAAUGGGCGAAAGCCUGACGGAGCAACGCCGCGUGAGUGAUGAAGGUCUUCGGAUCGUAAAACUCUGUUAUUAGGGAAGAACAAAUGUGUAAGUAACUAUGCACGUCUUGACGGUACCUAAUCAGAAAGCCACGGCUAACUACGUG